AAACAAUGAACGCAUGAUGGUCUUCGGUUCAAUUUUUUGAACGAGUUCAUUGUCUGCUUCAUGGUAAUAGCUGCAGGUAGUAAUUUUGUUUGUUGUUUCAUGCGUCGUAGAAGACCUUAACUUCUUCAUUGUUUUCUUUCCAUCCUUUCUCUGUGUUGUCAUGCUAUGGAAAUUUGAUUUUAUUAAGUGUGGUGCUACUGUUGAAGAGAUUUGAUUAAUUGGUCAAGUGUGAUGCUGCCGUUGUAUAAAUUUGAUUAAUUUGUUUAAGACAUCGAGGGUGGUGCUGCUGUUGUUUUGUUUCUUUUAGCGGUUGUUCUGUUAACUGAAUCUACAACUAGUAGUUGAGCAGUUCUGGUUCGCUCAUGUUGGGUCUAUCCUCUUUGAACAAAGGAUGUUAACCACGUUGUGUUCUCUGUUGACCGUCGAUUAUAAAAUUUCUUCUGCGUUUUAGUUGAUAUCUGUUUAGCAAUAUGUUCUGUCUAAAUUUUUUAUAUUUGUUAAAAUUCUGCCUUUAACUUGUCUAGUCGCCUCUCUUUUUGAUUGGUGUUACUUGUUAGUUUGACAAUCAUGGUGAAUAUAUUUUGCUCGGCUUAGGAAAGUGAUACUCGUCAAAAUAAGUUCUAAACAGUCUUCUCAUGUGUUACUCUCUCUCAUCAUCUAGAUUUGCCGUUGGUAUUUUUAUUUUAUCUUUUGAUACAUGUUGUUUUUCUUUACCCUUCUAAUAGCGGG
RNAcentral lists this long non-coding RNA (729 nucleotides) under Capsicum annuum. RNAcentral describes it as "long non-coding RNA (CANN_LNC020681)". Lineage: Eukaryota; Viridiplantae; Streptophyta; Magnoliopsida; Solanales; Solanaceae. The record is from RNAcentral.